GAUGAACGCUAGCUACAGGCUUAACACAUGCAAGUCGAGGGGCAGCGUUUCUUUAGCAAUAAAGAAGAUGGCGACCGGCGCACGGGUGAGUAACACGUAUCCAACCUGCCCUAUACUCGGGGAUAGCCUUUCGAAAGAAAGAUUAAUACCCGAUAGUAUAAUUAGAUCGCCUGAUUUGAUUAUUAAAGAAUUUCGGUAUAGGAUGGGGAUGCGUUCCAUUAGAUUGUUGGUGGGGUAACGGCCUACCAAGUCUUCGAUGGAUAGGGGUUCUGAGAGGAAGGUCCCCCACACUGGUACUGAGACACGGACCAGACUCCUACGGGAGGCAGCAGUGAGGAAUAUUGGUCAAUGGGCGAGAGCCUGAACCAGCCAAGUAGCGUGAAGGAUGACUGCCCUAUGGGUUGUAAACUUCUUUUAUGUGGGAAUAAAAAAGGGAACGUGUUCCCUAUUGCAUGUACCACUAUGAAUAAGCAUCGGCUAACUCCGUGCCAGCAGCCGCAGUAAAAC
Molecule: ribosomal RNA, 507 nt
Filed under: uncultured bacterium
Lineage: Bacteria
Description: bacterial SSU rRNA
Rfam family: Bacterial small subunit ribosomal RNA
Source: RNAcentral